This 5606-nucleotide long non-coding RNA is filed under the name Triticum aestivum (bread wheat). RNAcentral's name for it is "long non-coding RNA (TAES_LNC007046)". The record is from RNAcentral. Lineage: Eukaryota; Viridiplantae; Streptophyta; Magnoliopsida; Poales; Poaceae.
AACUAAGUUUAUGAUUGUUUUCAGUCCCUACAAUAAUUUAUAGUGCAGGCCGCAGAUAUGGUUAGUGCAAUUCCAACUCCAUAGAGAACUUACUGUAAAUGACCGAUUCCGUGGCUUCCUUUUGUUACCUUUGCGAACUCAAUCCAGAGGUUUUGCUUUUUCUUCAGUCAUCCAUACCUCAAACCUGAUAGUGCUUACUAAUUUCGCAAAUAUCUGGUGCAUGUACAUCCCUUCACAUGAGACCUAUAAAUUACUUUCUUUUAGGAAAUACUCUAAUUGCAGAGAUUUAUUCUUUGUUAAUGGCUCGACUAAUUUGGAUUACUCUUAUAUUUAUUUUUUCUAUCGUGAAUUUUUCGCAGGUACGAGUAAAUAUUGGUUCUUUGACAUUGAUCCUUAAAUUUAAUAGUACUAAUUCAGAAGAUGGGUGCAUAACGAUAUCAUCGGAUUAAACAAGGUAUAUUGGUCUAUCAAAUAUACUACUGGUACAUAUCAAAAUGGUCUAUCAAAAUGUUUCUUCAGUCUAAUUCAGAGUGAUAAUCUCUGUGGUACGAGCCUACAAUUAUAUUUUGUUCUGCAGAUUGAGCGAAAGUUAGUGUCAUUUUACCAAAUUGAGUUUUCUAACAAAUUCCUUCUCUCACAAAUGGAAUUCAAGAAAACUAAUAAUUCUUUCCAUGUGUCCAAGUAAGUAACAUAAGCCUACAUACAUUGCAUCAGGAAAUUUCCUGAAUAUCUACUGAUAAAUAUUUUGACUGUAUUUCAUAGUAAUUAGAUACUUUAUGUGUUGUAUGCUAAGUUAGUAGACGAGACAUGGUACCUCAUCAUCAAUGAAUGCUAUUAUUCACCUAGGGAAACGUUCUUCAUCAAUGGCUAUCACAAUUGCUGGCAAUUUUCUUUAAUAUUUCCUUGUAAUUACUUAAAUAAAACCAUUUGACUUGAGUAAUCGAGGAAUGUCGUAAACAACUUGAAAAGUGUAGUACCAGUUACAAACAGAAUUUAUGAUAUUGGAUUGAUGACAGACCAUGCAUCAACGGGAUCCGGAAAGAUAUUUCUUACUGUAGUUAUCAUGACAGUAAUUUCUUCAGCUACCGUUUCUGUGAAAAACCAAGCAAGAGUUUUGCACCAUUGAUUUUAUAUGCAGAAAAGAAAUAACAAACUUGAUAAAAUUACUGUACUGUGAAGGACUACUCUUAUAUUCAGUUAGGUGAUCGUGGACUUCUCCAACACAUGUCAUAGGAAAUAUGCAGCUACUUAUGCAAGUUUGCUUUAUGAAGGUUAUCACCUUCAACCAUUUAACAUGCUUUUUAUAUUGCAUAUUAUGAUGAUUCCGUAAUAGUGUCUGCAGUUAGUUUGUUGUCAUCCUUUUCCAUGACAAAAGUUUGAUAUUACAUUGUUUUUCUCCAUAUCCCGCAUUGAACAACAGUACCACAAAUACAAUCAUAAGGGUAGCGACUAAGGUGUGCUUUUCCUUGGUGAUUGUCGGAGGGUAUAUUUUUUAUUUCCGAAUUGGCAAGAAAGGUCUAACUGACAAUAAAAGUCUAUAAUGGUGUUUCCGCAUCUACUAGGAGACUGCUUUUCACCAUUUUCAGUUGACUCCACAUUGUUUCUGUCCUGAACCUGGAAGAUAUAUGCUCCUUAAUGCGCAGCCUGGGUCUUUUCAUUGUAUUUUCACAAAUAUACAAAGAUUACGUAUCAUUUCAUUGAUAUGAGUGAAACAACAAAAUUUGGCAAUGCACAGAGCCGCCGACACGAACCUGCUUGGUGCGCAAUCACAAGAGCAGAACAGAGAAGUGGGUUGCUCAGCCCACAACAUCACCGGCAGGAUCACAUCCUAAAUGUAUUGUAUUUUCUAGAUCUAUAUUAGUACCUACAAAACCUACAUACUCCCUUCGUCCUGAAAUUCAUGUACAGUGUACGUUUUGCAAAAAACACCUCACAAUUUUAAAACAGUAGCAAGCACGUCCUUGACUCCUUCUGCUUCCUCUGUCCGCCGCCCGUGCGUCGCCAGGGGCCAGGGGCCGGCGCCGCGGGAUUCCGCCGCCGUGCUGGAGAUUCCUGCACUCACGGCCCACCCGCAACCACGCACCGCCGCCCACCCGCCACCAGCUGCCCGCGGAUUCCGCCGCCCAACGCCGCGACCACCAGGCGAGCCGGUCCUCGAUCCGUCGCGACCACCUGCCGGCGACCACCUGUGUGAUAACGCCGCCCACCUGCGCGACCAGCCACUGCGGCGCCGCCCACCUCGACCUGCACCGCUGCCAACCCGUCUCUGCUACUUUGAGACUCCGAUCGCCGGCCCCGUCUCUGCUGCUGGGAGAUUCCGAUCGCCAGCCCAGUCUCUCCUUCCCCUCCGACUCCUUCCUCGCCGACUGUGCUGCCCCCCGACGCCUACUGCUGCUGCUGCUUCAACCAAACGAACUCUGCUGCUGCUUUGAAUUGUCCUGCUUCGACCAAAAUUCAGUGGAAUUGCCCGGCCUCUGCUGCUGCUGCUGCUAGGUAGGCAGUCCUGCGAAAUUGGUAAUGUUAGUUUGGAAACAUUCAAUCAUGUUAAUUAUGGAAACAUUCCAUCAUGUUAAUUAUCGAAACAUUAGAUCAGGAAAUGGGAUUCUGUUACUUUUGGAAACAUUCAAUCAUGUUAAUUAUGGAAACAUUAGAUCAGGAAAUGAAUUUUGUUAAUUUUGGAAACAAUUGAACCAUGUUAACUUCGGAAACAUUAAAUCAGACAAGAUUUUGGCAACUGGAAUUACUACGACAUGGAUUAUGGACUCUCACCUGAUCAUCAUCUAUGUUCAGGUUCUAAAAAUAUUCAAUUAGACAGUUUGGACUUGUGGCUGUACUUUGCUAUUUAAAUAUGUUCAGGUUGUAAAAAUGGGACAGCAAUAUAACAUCAAGCAAAACUCUUGCAAAUUUUUAGUUUCGACAGUGUCAAAGAAUACAGUAGUUUUGAGAGUAAUUUUGAUAAUUCAAGCAAAUUAAUUUUUACAACCUGAUAAUUUUGAUAAUUCCAAACAAAGAGUUGGGGCAUCCCUGUUUGACAAACCACUCUCAAAAAAUGACCUGUAAUUUUGUAAUUUACUCCAAAUCACGAAGAGAUACGACAACCAUAUGUCCAAAUCAUGAAUCACAACAAGAAACUCUAAAGUUGAAUGAUGUGAAGUGGAUGAACUAAAGAAGGACCAAGCAUGUUGUGUGUUGUAUGCCAGGUUUCAGUUAAUCUUCUGUAUGAACUAAAGAAGUAAAUGAUGUAAACAGAGCUUGAUCCCCAGGUUUCAGGUUUCAGGAUGUAGAAAGUUCACUUAACAUAGUUAUUGAUCACCUAGUCAAGUCUGUGAUCACCUAGUCUGUGGUGUGACAAAUGGAGGGGCAUCAACCUGCACCUGUCUGACGAUGCAUUUUUUUGGGGUUCACAUAUCAUACAAGUUCAGAGAUAAAAACAAGAUCUCCUAACAAUCUACUCUAGGAUAAAAAUAUAACUCUGUUUAGUGCUAGCUUUCUUCCUAACAAAGUUACUGCUCCUAAAUAUGGACACACAAUUUUUUUUUUUUGAUUUACACAAGAUCUCACAGUGAAGGACAAUAUGGGGUACUCCUACUCCUGAUGUAGUUGCAGCUACUCCUAUUCCUUCUUCUACUCUAGCUGCAGUAAGCAAUAUCACCAGCCAAACAAUAUCUGCAGUAGUAUCUCAACAAGCAGUACUUGCUGCUAUGGAUGCGGCCAUGGAUGCAUCAAACAAGUUUUAAAAUCAAAUUUAAACAAUGCUGCUAUUCAAAAAUUAGAUGGAAAAAGCUCAAGAUAAUUAAUCAUGACUACUGUCACAUGACAGAUUACUCCUGUACAGUACUGUGCCAUUUUUUAAGUGCAGACUAAUUCUAUAAGUGCACGUUAAUUCUAGAAGUGCAGACGUUUAGUUGUGAGAUUAUACAGCAGGAACAUUCAGUCUCUAAUUCAGAUGUUUGCAGUUGAAAAUGCAGCAAUUCAGGAAUCACCUGAAUCAAUUCAGACCAUUGCCGCAGAUGUCCUUGAACUGCCUCUCCUUCCACCUGAAGAUGUUGCCACUCCUUCAAAGCACAAACUUUCAGACCAGAGCAUGCAGCAAUCCAACAGAAGAUUUCGCCACUCCUUAAACUGCCACCACACACACCGAAUCGUCGGCCUUGAGCGAAGCCUGCUUGUUCCUCACAUCAAACGCCUGUAGAAAUCCAAGAAGAUGAAGAAAUUGGGUGGACAUGGCCCGACCAAUCUAAGAAGAUAAAGAAGAAAUUGCAAUGGGCGCAGUAGAUCGAAGGGAGGAGAAGUGGAAAAAGGAGACCUUUGACUCCGGCGGGCUCCUGGGUGAGCUCCUCCACCUACCUCUUUGCGAUCCGCCAAGCAGCCGCCGCGCAAGGAGGGCGAGAAAGGAGGGCGCCCGGCCGCCGUGCCCCGCCGCUGCGCAAGGAGUACACACAUGGUCGUUGGACAGGAGCAGCGGAAGGAUCGACAAAAAAAAUGCAUGCUUCACGUUGGGGAACGAGGUGGGGAACGAGGCGGCGUGGCCGCGUGGGGCAUGGGGCGGGAAGGGUGGUGGCAGCGGGGGCGGCGUGGGACGGGAUGGGUGGUGGUGGAGAGGGGCGGCGGGGGCAGAAUUGGGCGGCAACACGGCGCCCGUCGUCGGGAAGGGUGGUGGUGGAGAGGGGCGGAGAGAGCGAGGAAGAAGAGGGACCUCAGGUUCGGUUGGGAAAAAGCCGGGGACUAAAUUGCAAAUAUCCACUUGCGACAAGAAUUACGGGACGGAGGGAAUAUUAUAUUCAAGUUUAACCUACUAGAAUUUUUCAAUUGGAUUUUUGUUGCAAUAUUUUUAAAUUUAUCAAGCUUUUAUUUUCAUGAGCACGAACUUUCAACCUGUAGUAUAGCUCGACAGGUCAACCCAGAACCAUUAUAUUUGUCUCUUCUAUCUAUAAGACGCCUGCUCAUAUCAUUUAUGUAGAUCUAAAGCUUCAGCCUUUGUGCCAAUAUAUUUUUUAACUGUUGUAGUGUUGUCUCUCUUUCAGAAAAGCUGUGAAACCAUGUUGUCGUUCAUGCAUUGCUACCUUAUUAGUUAGACUUGAAAAGGGACCUGAAUGUAUAUCUUUUCCAAAUUAGGCUAAUCUUUCCUUAUCGUCAUUGGGUUCUAUUUUUCAGAUCAUAAACUACUUUUUCAUUCGGGUAUGGACGUGGGUGGUAUCAUUUUCACAGGAGCAGCGUCUGGACAUGCAUCAAUAGGUGCUAAACUCACAUGCUACUACAAUGGACGGCUCUACAACAUUUUAUUUUAGAUGUACAACAAUAGAAGGGAAAUGUGCAUGCAGACGAUCAUGUGUUUGACGAUCAUACUUCUAAGUCCUUACUAUAACAACAAGAAGUUAAUCAGCAUGAUGUACUUAUGUUGUUGUGAUCAAACAUGUUGUCAUGCUUUAAAUGCCAUGGUAAUUUUCAUUGCAACGUCCACUUUACUCUACGGAAGGCGUUGUUGUUAAUAAUAAUUUCUAUAUUGUAAUAACUUGUGGUUGGACACUUGAGCUCCGUUAGUAAGUCUUUACUACCAAAUAUAUUCACUAAUGCUAAUUGCAAAAUUAAUGUGUACACAGUUGAAU